Molecule: long non-coding RNA, 325 nt
Organism: Ochotona princeps (American pika)
Lineage: Eukaryota; Metazoa; Chordata; Mammalia; Lagomorpha; Ochotonidae
Exons: 3
Source: RefSeq, a predicted model, not a curated record
AGUGGGCAGAGGAGGGCACGGGGCUCCCGAGUCUGCUUCGGGUUGCUGGGCUUCUUCAUGGAACUUACAAAGUGUCUGGAGGAAGGGGGGGAUAAGGGGAGAAGCUGCACCCAGCCUCCCAACCGCCACAGUACCAGGGCUGGGGAACGGCCACCCGAUGUCAUCCCAGGGUCCCCAGUGUGGAGCAUGCUCCAAGGAUUCAUGUGCAGACUUUCAGAUGUCAAAUAUCAGCUUGGUCAAACAAGAAGAUAUAAUCAGAGAACAGAAACUAGGAAAUCUCAACAUGGCAUCUUAAGACCAUGGCUCUGAUUUCUUAAUACUUACC